This is a long non-coding RNA of Homo sapiens (human), 713 nucleotides long. RefSeq lists it as uncharacterized. Lineage: Eukaryota; Metazoa; Chordata; Mammalia; Primates; Hominidae. The transcript is spliced from 5 exons. The record is from RefSeq and is a predicted model, not a curated record.
UCUCAAGCGAUCCUCCUGCCUCAGUCUCCUGAGUAACUUUGAAAUGAGACCCUUGUCAUUCUUAGAGUCCUUUGUUGAAUGGAAGAAGAAAUGGAAUAAUGCCGUAUCCACCUGAUGGGGACAUCACCUCCUACCUGGAUGGUCAGAGGACUCCUAUCCAUCCCACUGUUCCUUCUGGUUUGGGGCCCAGAGUCUUCCACCAAAGCCUGAACAUGCUUCUACUCCCAGGGCCUCCACAUUCCACGGAUGGCUGAUGGAGAAGAAUCCCAGGUCAUCUGUGGACACCUCUCCUUCUGUAUCCCCAGAACAUGAUGUGCACAGGUGCAUAAAGGAAAUUUAAAUUUUAUGCCCAGGGGCUCCCACUCUCACCCUCCUGAGCAGAAGCUGGGGAUCCUCUGAGCUGCUGUCCCUGAUGUUAGAGAGCCCUUAUCCCUGAGACCAAUGCCAGUCAUCAAAUACAUCUCAUAGGAUGUCUGCACAAAAUCAGCUGCCCCAAGCCCCUUGCCUCCCUCCUCCUGGCUUCUCUGAUGCAUCCCCCACAGGAAUGAGCUCCAAAUUUCUCUCUUCUGCAUCCAAAAGUCCAGUGAGGAGUGUGGAUGCGUGUAAUGUGGCCCCUUCAUCACAUCCACCCCGUGCGUUCCUACCUUAUCCAGUGUCCCCAACCCCAAAAAACAGAAGGACCAUCCAAGGAGGACCAGCUUCAGGCCCAGAGA